Small nuclear RNA from Hypanus sabinus (Atlantic stingray), 107 nucleotides. NCBI's taxonomy places the organism in Eukaryota, Metazoa, Chordata, Chondrichthyes, Myliobatiformes, Dasyatidae. The record is from RefSeq and is a predicted model, not a curated record.
GUGCUCGUUUUGGCAGCACAUAUACUAAAAUUGGAACAAUACAGAGAAGGUUAGCAUGGCCCCUGUGCAAGGAUGACAUGCAAAUUCGUGAAGCGUCUUUUUAAUUU